This 303-nucleotide long non-coding RNA is filed under the name Linum usitatissimum (flax). RNAcentral's name for it is "long non-coding RNA (LUSI_LNC004355)". The record is from RNAcentral. Lineage: Eukaryota; Viridiplantae; Streptophyta; Magnoliopsida; Malpighiales; Linaceae.
AAUAUUUUAAAAGUUUAAGACUACGGUGUUAGUUCACAAAAAACUCCCGAUAAUUAUGUAAUUUUCAAAUAUUUAGGGACCAUGUGGAGUAUUUUCCAGGUCAUCUUCUUCGCGGACACCUGUUGGAAGGCUCUGUCCAACUUCCGCUAUCGCCGUCGUAUAACUCAAAUUGAUGGCUACCCCAGCUGCCACCCUCGGCACUGAAGAGGAACACCAUGCUCCGACCACCGUGCCUUGCCUCCAAUCGUUUGAUUAUCCUUUCGAUCUGCUGCUCCAACGUUCAUAUGGCCAAUCAAUUUCAAC